UUAUGACAAAAAAAAUCUCAUUUUUUAUGUGGAUUUAUGAUAUCAAUCAAACGAGAGAAAAAAAAUUCUUCCCGCACAAGACAUGCCUAAGAAGAUUAAAAAAUGUUACCCUGUUACACCAUGAAAACAUAACAACCAACCAACAAGAAAAAGAAAAGAUAAGCCAAGUUACAACACUUAGGCAAGGAAUGAGAUUAAGCCUCCAAACGUUGUAGUCAAAAUCGAACCGAUCAUAUUUCGAUUAAAACCACUAAAAUGGUGAUGCUUAAAUUUUUCGCCUAAAGAAUGAAACUGUUCCUCUUUAUGUUGAAAGAAAUACAAUUAUUUUUCAUCUUGAAUUUGUGUAUAGUAUUCACAAGCACCACAAACACAUUUUACAAACAUAAGAGGUAACGCCUCCGGACAAUCUUCGUCACUAAUACAUAGAGAGGAAGCUACAUAGACAAUUAAGAAAAAUGAAUAUACUACUCAAAUGUGAACAAAAAAUAAUGUUAUAAGAUAGAUUUGCAAAAUAGAAAAUGGUGUGAAAAAUGACAUACCUGCAACAAGCAAUUGAGAUAGAAAGAUGGUUAAAGCAUAAAAAAAU
This 586-nucleotide long non-coding RNA is filed under the name Medicago truncatula (barrel medic). RNAcentral's name for it is "lncRNA gene1265". Lineage: Eukaryota; Viridiplantae; Streptophyta; Magnoliopsida; Fabales; Fabaceae. The record is from RNAcentral.